AUACGUAGGUGGCAAGCGUUGUCCGGAAUUAUUGGGCGUAAAGCGCGCGCAGGCGGUCCUUUAAGUCUGAUGUGAAAGCCCACGGCUCAACCGUGGAGGGUCAUUGGAAACUGGGGGACUUGAGUGCAGAAGAGGAAAGUGGAAUUCCAAGUGUAGCGGUGAAAUGCGUAGAGAUUUGGAGGAACACCAGUGGCGAAGGCGACUUUCGGGUCUGUAACGGACGCUGAGGCGCGAAAGCGUGGGGAGCAAACAGGAUUAGAUACCCUGGUAGUCCACGCCGUAAACGAUGAGUGCUAAGUGUUAGGGGGUUUCCGCCCCUUAGUGCUGCAGCUAACGCAUUAAGCACUCCGCCUGGGGAGUACGGUCGCAAGACUGAAACUCAAAGGAAUUGACGGGG
RNAcentral lists this ribosomal RNA (397 nucleotides) under uncultured bacterium. Its description in RNAcentral is "partial 16S ribosomal RNA". It matches the Rfam family "Bacterial small subunit ribosomal RNA", at positions 523 to 918 of the family's 1533-position model. The record is from RNAcentral.